This is a non-coding RNA of Podarcis lilfordi (Lilford's wall lizard), 74 nucleotides long. The record is from the annotation of a GenBank genome assembly. NCBI's taxonomy places the organism in Eukaryota, Metazoa, Chordata, Lepidosauria, Squamata, Lacertidae.
CACGGGAUACCUCAGUCAGUAGAGCCUGAGACUCUUAAUCUCAGGGUCAUGGGUUUGAGCCCUGUGUUGGGUGA